GCCUAAGGCCAUACUCCCUAAAUAUGCCUGAUCUUGUCUAAUCUCGGAAGCUAAGCAAGGUCAGGCCUGGUUAGUACUUGAAUGAGAGAUCACCUGGGAAUACCAAGUGCUGUAAAAA
This 118-nucleotide ribosomal RNA is filed under the name Anolis carolinensis (green anole). Lineage: Eukaryota; Metazoa; Chordata; Lepidosauria; Squamata; Anolidae. The record is from RNAcentral.